RNAcentral lists this unclassified non-coding RNA (526 nucleotides) under Bombus terrestris (buff-tailed bumblebee). Its description in RNAcentral is "misc RNA ENSBTSG00005025560.1". Lineage: Eukaryota; Metazoa; Arthropoda; Insecta; Hymenoptera; Apidae. The record is from RNAcentral.
GUAAGAUUGAUUGGAAAUUUACGAGUAAUUAAAAUGUUGGACUUUUUAAGGUAGAAACAGUGUCCGAAUGCUCGAUGAAAGAUUAUUUUCAAGAAACGAUACUUGUGGAAUUUAUUCUGCUCAGUAACAUUUUGAUCAAUAUAUUAUUAUUCUUACUAUAUUAAAUAUUAUUUAAAUUUUAUUGCGUUACCAAGGAACAUAAGACUGAAAAUUAGUAUGACAAUUAUAUCUAAAAUAGUAGAAACUACAGAAGAAGAUUUUUUGAAGUGGCGGAGAUUUUCUGGACAUAAAUUUUAUACAAACUGAAAUAGCGAACGAAAAUAAUGAGGAUGUACCUUCUCGUGUCAAAAGGUUUGGGAAAAGAUUUGGAUGAUUUGAAGCAAAAAAAAAAAAAAAAGAACCUAAGAAUGUAAAGUUACUGGUGUUAACAAAUAUAGACAACUCAUCCAAAGGAAAAUAUAUGAAACGCUUAAAUAUUGCAAUAAAUUGAUAACUUGCUUGAUCUCCGUUUAAAUAGAUAAAAUUU